This 393-nucleotide ribosomal RNA is filed under the name uncultured bacterium. RNAcentral's name for it is "partial 16S ribosomal RNA". It matches the Rfam family "Bacterial small subunit ribosomal RNA", at positions 523 to 918 of the family's 1533-position model. The record is from RNAcentral.
AUACGGAGGAUCCGAGCGUUAUCCGGAUUUAUUGGGUUUUAAGGGAGCGUAGGUGGACAGUUAAGUCAGUUGUGAAAGUUUGCGGCUCAACCGUAAAAUUGCAGUUGAUACUGGCUGUCUUGAGUACAGUAGAGGUGGGCGGAAUUCGUGGUGUAGCGGUGAAAUGCUUAGAUAUCACGAAGAACUCCGAUUGCGAAGGCAGCUUGCUGGACUGUAACUGACGCUGAUGCUCGAAAGUGUGGGUAUCAAACAGGAUUAGAUACCCUGGUAGUCCACACAGUAAACGAUGAAUACUCGCUGUUUGCGAUAUACAGUAAGCGGCCAAGCGAAAGCGUUAAGUAUUCCACCUGGGGAGUACGCCGGCAACGGUGAAACUUAAAGGAAUUGACGGGG